This 276-nucleotide ribosomal RNA is filed under the name uncultured prokaryote. Its description in RNAcentral is "partial 16S ribosomal RNA". It matches the Rfam family "Bacterial small subunit ribosomal RNA", at positions 524 to 800 of the family's 1533-position model. The record is from RNAcentral.
UACGUAGGGGGCUAGCGUUAUCCGGAAUUACUGGGCGUAAAGGGUGCGUAGGUGGUUUCUUAAGUCAGAGGUGAAAGGCUACGGCUCAACCGUAGUAAGCCUUUGAAACUGGGAAACUUGAGUGCAGGAGAGGAGAGUGGAAUUCCUAGUGUAGCAGUGAAAUGCGUAGAUAUUAGGAGGAACACCAGUUGCGAAGGCGGCUCUCUGGACUGUAACUGACACUGAGGCACGAAAGCGUGGGGAGCAAACAGGAUUAGAUACCCUGGUAGUCCCUGA